This 71-nucleotide transfer RNA is filed under the name Ovis aries (sheep). It matches the Rfam family "tRNA". Rfam says of the family: Transfer RNA (tRNA) molecules are approximately 80 nucleotides in length. Their secondary structure includes four short double-helical elements and three loops (D, anti-codon, and T loops). Lineage: Eukaryota; Metazoa; Chordata; Mammalia; Artiodactyla; Bovidae. The record is from Rfam by way of RNAcentral.
UCCCUGAUAGCUCAGUUGGUAAAGAAUCCGCCUGCAAAGCAGGAGACCUGGGUUCGAUCCCUGGCUGGGAA